Molecule: long non-coding RNA, 1217 nt
Filed under: Brassica napus (rape)
Lineage: Eukaryota; Viridiplantae; Streptophyta; Magnoliopsida; Brassicales; Brassicaceae
Description: long non-coding RNA (BNAP_LNC011866)
Source: RNAcentral
AAAUCGAUUUGGCGUUAGGGUUCUAAGAGUAUCAAUAUGGGGAUUUUGUAAGCUUGUUCUGUUUUUUAAACGACGGCGUAUAAGGUUCCGUGAACAGUUAACAGAGAUUUGACAGUUAAAACUAGUUGACCAAAAGUAUAUCUGUUAUGGCUCGGUGAACAUAAGUUUGUGUUUAUUUUGUAUAAUGAGAAGUCUGUAUUUUUUUGGCGAAUUUGAAAAAGUUUAGUAUUUAAUCGACUGUUUUCUCAUAGAACAAGUUCUAAAAGACCUCUUUACCAAUCACUUGUUUUUUUUUUGCUUUUCUCCUCCUAUCCAAACUUCCUCCGUCAUUUUGCUUGUGUCCAGCCAGCGUCCGAUGGCUCUUGAGCCUCGGCGUUGUGCCCCUCUUUUCCCUUCUUAGUUGGUGUGCUUUACGGAUGUGAGAUUCAAUUUUUAAAGAUGGUUUGGGGUUGAAUUUCUGACAAAAUCUCUUCUUUCCUUUUCCCAGAAAUUCCAGAUCUGGUUAUAUGAUUCACUUCCUUUUGAAAGAUGUUUGAGGGAUUCGCUUUUCGGUGGCUCUCCAGAGGUGUUUUACCUCGACCAUGGGUUUCUUCUUGGUUAGUUCACAUGCAGAUCACCACCGUGUUUCUCAGAUCUGCUCUAACCGGUACAGAUUUCAAGAAGAUGUGGAUUCGUCGUUUUUCAAGCCUUCCUUGUUGUGGUUUAACCGUCUAUAAUACUUAGCAGAAGAUCAUUCGUGUGCCCAGUGAAGCUUGCCUAAUAAUGUCUAAGACACUUCAGGUAAACCGGUUUUGGGUUGUUGGAGGGAACUCAUGGCUUCGACAGCUGAAUGAAAUUUUGUGAGGGUUAAAUGAGAAGUUUGAUUACAACCAGGUCUUUUAUUUAUGUUGUUUAUUAAGUGUGGUUGAUCCGAGUGUUUCCCACAGUCCGACCAUGUUCUGUUUAAUCUCUGUUUUAUGAUUUACUAUGAGUAUGCCCGCAUUCGUACGGAAUAUUAUUUUAUUGUGGUUAAGUAUAUAAUUUUUUGAUGAUGUAAUUAUUUUAUCAUCUUUAUUUGUUAAGAGCACUAUUUGUGUUUUAUUGUGUUAUGUAGUAGCAGGUGAUAUGUGAAUAUAUUAUGUGUUUGUCUUUUCAAUAAUGUGUUGUUGUGUGUAUAGUAAUACUCGUUAGUGGUGAAGUGGACCUCUGAUGUAAAACAUAUUGAAUUUCAAUAAUUU